CACAUCAGAAAUUGCAGCACUGAAGAACAGAGUUCAUGCAGACUUUUACAACAUGCAUCAGCUACAGCAUUUGUUUGUUGAUGGUACCAGCUGUCAAAAACCAAGCAAGUGGCAGUGCUAGAGGUGCCACAAAAGUGCGAAGGAAGUGUCAGGCUGGAUGUCAAAAUGAACACCUUGGAGAACUGGAUGAUGGAACAGACGGUAAAAAUCAGCUAAACAUCAGAGAAAAUGGAGGAAGAGGUCAAAACUGUGAACAGGAACUAGAAGAAAGUGUAGCAGAAAAAGACUUGUCACAAACUUCGAGAGAUUUGGAGAAAAUGAUGUCAAAACACAUCUUCCUCAAGCCCAUGCUGAGUAUCUCUGAUUUGGUUAAUUUCUUGUUACUUUAUAUGGAUGUUGGUUGCUGUUCUGUUUAGUUCAAAAUACCUCGGAUCUGACCAGGUGUGGUGGCUCACACCUGUAAUCCCAGCAAUUUGGGAGACCAAGGCAGGUGGAUCAACUGAGGUCAGGAGUUCAAGAACAGCCUUACCAACAUGAUGAAACCAUCUCUUCUAAAAAUACAAAAAUUACCCAGGCGUGGUGGUGGGUGACUCUAAUCCCAGGUACUUGGGAGGCUGAAGCAGGAGAAUCCCUUGAACCUGGGAGGUGGAGGUUGCAGUGGGCCAAGAUCGUGCUACUGCACUCCAGCCCCAGCUGGGUGACAGAGUGAGACACUGUCUCAAAAACAAAACAAAAACAAAAACAAAACAACCUGUCAAUAUCACUGGGGAAAGAGUUUGUCAAACUCCAAGGCAAUUUUCAGUGAGAAUGACACUAAGUUUCAGACUUCAGGGCAAUAGGAAUGAUGUCAGACUUCAAUUACAUUCCCCAUGAAGAACCAGACAGCUAGAGUGUCGCUAUGUACUUUUAAAAGAUGACUGAGGAUGGAGACAAGUGAGUUGGCAGACAGUGGCAACCUCUGGAAGACAGAAUCUUCUCUGCUGGUUCCCAGGCUGCUGCUCCGAAAGUCCCAAAACAC
Molecule: long non-coding RNA, 1018 nt
Organism: Homo sapiens (human)
Lineage: Eukaryota; Metazoa; Chordata; Mammalia; Primates; Hominidae
Product: long intergenic non-protein coding RNA 2576
Source: Ensembl